RNAcentral lists this transfer RNA (54 nucleotides) under Chortoglyphus arcuatus. RNAcentral describes it as "tRNA-Phe". Lineage: Eukaryota; Metazoa; Arthropoda; Arachnida; Sarcoptiformes; Chortoglyphidae. The record is from RNAcentral.
AGUGUUUUAGUCCUUAGGGCAUUAGCUUUGAAGGGGCUAAAGGUUUCUUCACUU